RNAcentral lists this ribosomal RNA (452 nucleotides) under uncultured Sphingobacteriales bacterium. Its description in RNAcentral is "bacterial SSU rRNA". It matches the Rfam family "Bacterial small subunit ribosomal RNA", at positions 342 to 791 of the family's 1533-position model. Lineage: Bacteria; Pseudomonadati; Bacteroidota; Sphingobacteriia; Sphingobacteriales. The record is from RNAcentral.
CGGGGGGCAGCAGUAAGGAAUAUUGGUCAAUGGAGGCAACUCUGAACCAGCCAUGCCGCGUGCAGGAUGAAGGCCCUAUGGGUCGUAAACUGCUUUUAUACCAGAGAAAACCCUUCCACGUGUGGAAGGCUGAUAGUAUGGUAAGAAUAAGCAUCGGCUAACUUCGUGCCAGCAGCCGCGGUAAGACGAAGGAUGCAAGCGUUAUCCGGAUUCAUUGGGUUUAAAGGGUGCGUAGGCGGACUGAUAAGUCAGUGGUGAAAUCUCUCAGCUUAACUGAGAAACUGCCAUUGAUACUGUCAGUCUAGAGUAUAGAUGACGUUGGCGGAAUAUGACAUGUAGUGGUGAAAUACUUAGAUAUGUCAUAGAACACCGAUUGCGAAGGCAGCUAACGAAACUAUAACUGACGCUGAGGCACGAAAGUGCGGGGAUCAAACAGGAUUAGAUACCCGAGU